Molecule: ribosomal RNA, 253 nt
Filed under: uncultured Staphylococcus sp.
Lineage: Bacteria; Bacillati; Bacillota; Bacilli; Caryophanales; Staphylococcaceae
Description: partial 16S ribosomal RNA
Rfam family: Bacterial small subunit ribosomal RNA
Source: RNAcentral
AGUAACACGUGGAUAACCUACCUAUAAGACUGGGAUAACUUCGGGAAGCCGGAGCUAAUACCGGAUAAUAUAUUGAACCGCAUGGUUCAAUGGUGAAAGACGGUUUUGCUGUCACUUAUAGAUGGAUCCGCGCUGCAUUAGCUAGUUGGUAAGGUAACGGCUUACCAAGGCAACGAUGCGUAGCCGACCUGAGAGGGUGAUCGGCCACACUGGAACUGAGACACGGUCCAGACUCCUACGGGAGGCAGCAGCA